GAGAGCGACGCUGCGCAUGCGCCAGCACCGCCUGCGCGCGCCUGUCUGUUGCGGCCGUGGCUUGGUGGAUUUGCGCUGUGGUUGUUAAUCUUGUAAAGACUCCAGCCAAGGUGCCGGGGAAAUAUGGCCUGUCAUGGGAGAUGCAGUUCUGUCCCUGGACAGAAUGAAACACUGACCUCAGAGGAAGUGACUAAGGACAGAUGUGCCCGUGAAUCUCACAUCUUGUGCUGACAGAGAUGGGAGCCCGAGCAUUCUGUUUGCUUCCACAAGCUCCAGUAACAGGGUGCUUUGCCUUGCUGUACUCUUCAAGAAAGAAAUUUAUUCUGCAACAUGCAACUUUCAUCUUUCUGAGAUGCUUUCCUCCUUGAUUCCUUAUCUGUGAAGGACUAGCAGAAGGAAAGGCAAGAACUUGAAAACACCCUGGUGGGUUUUGAGAGGGUGAGGUUAAAGUGGAGUAUAAUAGAAUUGUUAAAUAGUUAAAGUUUCAGCAGUGCUUUUUUUUAUUUGUUUUAUUCUAAAGAGACUAACUAAAGAUUUAGACUACAAAUUGACUUAGAAUGAGGGCAGUGCAAAAAAAGGAAACCAGUGACCUACUUAAAAGAAAUUAAAAU
Molecule: non-coding RNA, 611 nt
Organism: Phasianus colchicus (ring-necked pheasant)
Lineage: Eukaryota; Metazoa; Chordata; Aves; Galliformes; Phasianidae
Source: RefSeq, a predicted model, not a curated record